GCCGGGUUCCCCCACCUCCGCCGCUAUCACCACUGAACCCGGACGCCCUACCCAAGUCCAGGGCCAGCCGCCAUGACGAACGUGUACUCCUUGGAUGGGAUUCUGGUGUUUGGUUUGCUCUUUGUUUGCACCUGUGCCUACUUCAAGAAAGUACCUCGUCUCAAAACCUGGCUGCUAUCAGAGAAGAAGGGUGUUUGGGGUGUGUUUUACAAAGGUGAGGCCAUGUCUGGACAGGGAGAAGAGAUUGCCAUCUCUGGACAGUGUGGAGCUACAAAGUAGGGAGUACAGUGAGCUGGGAUUGUAUUUGGUUUCAUUUUUAGAAAAAAAUCCCUCAGAUUGGGUCUGAGAGUCUGGAAAAUUAAUCGUUCUCCAAAGUUGAGGGAAGAGGUAAAAGUUAAAAUUUGCUGGGUGUGGUGGCUCAUGCCUAUAAUCUCAGCACUUUGGCGGGCCAAGGCAGGAGGAUUGCUUGUGUCCAGGAAUUGUAGAUCAGCCUGGGCAACACAGUGAGACCCCAUUUCUACAAAAUAUACAAAAAUUAGCCAGGUAUGGUGGCACGUGCCUGUAGUCCCAGCUACUCAGGAGACCGAGGUGGGAGGAUUGCUUGAGCCUAGGAGGUUGAGGCUGCAGUGAGCCAUGGCGGAGCCACUGCACUCCAGCCCAGGUGACAGGGUGAGACCCUGUCUCAAAAAAAAAAAAAAUUUUUAUUUAAAAACAUAAUUGUCUAUUUUAGCAUCCAGAUGAUUUUUGUAUUCUCCAUGGAGUAAAAGUAUACACAUGAAAUCAUUUUAGGCUGGGGUGGAAUUCCUCCCUUCAGUGGGAAAAAGAUUUUUCUACAGAAAAUUUUUCUUGAUUUUCUGUAAAUGGUACAUUGGAGUCUGUUUUAAGGUUUGAUUUAAUUAACUCAGAUGCUUUUUUUUACUUUUUAUUUGAGGCACAUUCAUUUGGAAUCCUAUCUACCUAAAUUUUUUUUG
Molecule: small RNA, 971 nt
Filed under: Pongo abelii (Sumatran orangutan)
Lineage: Eukaryota; Metazoa; Chordata; Mammalia; Primates; Hominidae
Description: processed transcript
Source: RNAcentral